Vicia faba (fava bean) is the source of this 183-nucleotide non-coding RNA. The record is from the annotation of a GenBank genome assembly. Lineage: Eukaryota; Viridiplantae; Streptophyta; Magnoliopsida; Fabales; Fabaceae.
AUGCCUCCUAGAAAUGUUAUUGAGGAUUAUGUCUCAGAAUGGUACAUGAAAGAGAAACUCAAGCUUAAACAUGAAUUGGCCACCGUUCCGAAUAUGAUAGUUUUAAAUUUUGAUUUGUGGGAAUCUGCCACUACUUUGGCUGCAAUGUUCCCUCACAGUGGCUCCAAUCAUGUUGGUAAGUAA